AGGAAACCUGUAAAUGAAUUUUAAGCACAAGAAAAUGCUAGACUUCAGCAAGUGUUACAGGGAGCAAUCACGCUACCAGUGUAAAACAAAGGCAGACCCUAAUUUCAAAGGCAAUGCAUUUAGUACAAUUAAAGAAACACAGUUUAUAUUUUUAUUAAAGAAUUCUGCAGCUAAGGCAUACAAUUUCUAAAUCUUUCUCUAAAAAUAGCAUUUGCCAUUACUCCUAAUGCAGUAUUAUAUAGUUAUAAACUGAAUCUGAGACAAAUCUUAAC
This 272-nucleotide long non-coding RNA is filed under the name Bos taurus (domestic cattle). RNAcentral's name for it is "long non-coding RNA NONBTAT011803". The record is from RNAcentral. Lineage: Eukaryota; Metazoa; Chordata; Mammalia; Artiodactyla; Bovidae.